UUCAGGUACAGCUGUGAUGAAGGAUGAAGUGU
Molecule: non-coding RNA, 32 nt
Filed under: Homo sapiens (human)
Lineage: Eukaryota; Metazoa; Chordata; Mammalia; Primates; Hominidae
Source: RNAcentral